AUGUCAACCUCGGUCAACAAGGGUGAUGAGGUUGCUACUGAUUCUGAGGAAAUAGUACGUCCAGUGUAUGCGGAUGAUAUUCCGCAAAAUAUUCGGGAUGGUUUUGACCACACAUGCAACUACAUCAAGCAAUGUCAUGAUGCGCUCGGCAAAAGGAUAGAUGUCCUGAUCACUCGGUUCAAUGGUUUGGCAGACAUCAUCAAUAUGCCGGCAACGAAUUCUGCACCACCACAGACUGCUCCGGCUGCUCCACUGCUUUAUGCACCACCGGCUCGUGACGGACAUGCCGGCGUGCUUGAUCGCCGUCUGGCGGCACAACUACAUGCUGGAGGUGAUGGCCUCGAUGACGGUGUUGACCAUGAGGCAACGGGGUACGCGCCACGACCACGACCGCGACACUAUCUUUCAUACUCAUGA
RNAcentral lists this ribosomal RNA (417 nucleotides) under Triticum aestivum (bread wheat). RNAcentral describes it as "partial small subunit ribosomal RNA". Lineage: Eukaryota; Viridiplantae; Streptophyta; Magnoliopsida; Poales; Poaceae. The record is from RNAcentral.